RNAcentral lists this ribosomal RNA (447 nucleotides) under uncultured bacterium. RNAcentral describes it as "bacterial SSU rRNA". It matches the Rfam family "Bacterial small subunit ribosomal RNA", at positions 355 to 825 of the family's 1533-position model. The record is from RNAcentral.
UCGGGAAUUUUGGGCAAUGGGCGCAAGCCUGAUCCAGCCAUGCCGCGUGAACGAUGAAGGCCUUAGGGUUGUAAAGUUCUUUUGUCAGGGAAGAUAAUGACGGUACCUGAAGAAUAAGCACCGGCUAACUUCGUGCCAGCAGCCGCGGUAAUACGUAGGGUGCGAGCGUUAAUCGGAAUUACUGGGCGUAAAGCGUGCGCAGGCGGCGACAUAAGACAGAUGUGAAAUCCCCGGGCUCAACCUGGGAACUGCGUUUGUGACUGUGUUGCUAGAGUGUAGCAGAGGGGGGUGGAAUUCCACGUGUAGCAGUGAAAUGCGUAGAGAUGUGGAGGAACACCGAUGGCGAAGGCAGCCCCCUGGGUUAACACUGACGCUCAUGCACGAAAGCGUGGGGAGCAAACAGGAUUAGAUACCCCCGUAGUCCCUGAGCGGGCUGGCAAGGCGCAU